CUGCUGGUAAAGGUCAUUACGUAUUACUUUACUUACGCGGAGGAAAAGAAACCAACAGGGAUUGCCUCAGUAACGGCGAGUGAAGCGGAAACAGCUCAAAUUUGAAAUCUGGCUCUCGGGCCCGAGUUGUAAUUUGUAGAGGAUGCUUUGGGUGCGGUGCCUUCCGAGUUCCCUGGAACGGGACGCCAUAGAGGGUGAGAGCCCCGUCUGGUUGGACGCCAAUCCUCUGUAAAGCUCCUUCGACGAGUCGAGUAGUUUGGGAAUGCUGCUCUAAAUGGGAGGUAUAUGUCUUCUAAAGCUAAAUACCGGCCAGAGACCGAUAGCGCACAAGUAGAGUGAUCGAAAGAUGAAAAGAACUUUGAAAAGAGAGUUAAAAAGUACGUGAAAUUGUUGAAAGGGAAGCGCUUGUGACCAGACUUGGGCUUGGUUGAUCAUCCAGGGUUCUCCCUGGUGCACUCUUCCGGCCCAGGCCAGCAUCAGUUCGCCCCGGGGGAAAAAGGCUUCGGGAAUGUGGCUCUCUCCGGGGAGUGUUAUAGCCCGCUGCGUAAUACCCUGUGGCGGACUGAGGUUCGCGCAUUCGCAAGGAUGCUGGCGUAAUGGUCAUCAGUGACCCGUCUUGAAACACGGACCAAGGAGUCGUCUUCGUAUGCGAGUGUUCGGGUGUCAAACCCCUACGCGAAAUGAAAGUGAACGCAGGUGAGAGCUUCGGCGCAUCAUCGACCGAUCCUGAUGUUUUCGGAUGGAUUUGAGUAAGAGCAUACGGGGCCGGACCCGAAAGAAGGUGAACUAUGCCUGUGUAGGGUGAAGCCAGAGGAAACUCUGGUGGAGGCUCGCAGCGGUUCUGACGUGCAAAUCGAUCGUCAAACAUGGGCAUGGGGGCGAAAGACUAAUCGAACCUUCUAGUAGCUGGUUUCCGCCGAAGUUUCCCUCAGGAUAGCAGUGUUGAACUCAGUUUUAUGAGGUAAAGCGAAUUAUUAGGGACUCGGGGG
Molecule: ribosomal RNA, 989 nt
Filed under: Fusarium neocosmosporiellum
Lineage: Eukaryota; Fungi; Ascomycota; Sordariomycetes; Hypocreales; Nectriaceae
Description: LSU rRNA
Rfam family: Eukaryotic large subunit ribosomal RNA
Source: RNAcentral